GACGAACGCUGGCGGCGUGCCUAAUACAUGCAAGUAGAACGCUGAAGCUUGGUGCUUGCACCGAGCGGAUGAGUUGCGAACGGGUGAGUAACGCGUAGGUAACCUGCCUGGUAGCGGGGGAUAACUAUUGGAAACGAUAGCUAAUACCGCAUAAGAGUAGAUGUUGCAUGACAUUUGCUUAAAAGGUGCAAUUGCAUCACUACCAGAUGGACCUGCGUUGUAUUAGCUAGUUGGUGGGGUAACGGCUCACCAAGGCAACGAUACAUAGCCGACCUGAGAGGGUGAUCGGCCACACUGGGACUGAGACACGGCCCAGACUCCUACGGGAGGCAGCAGUAGGGAAUCUUCGGCAAUGGACGGAAGUCUGACCGAGCAACGCCGCGUGAGUGAAGAAGGUUUUCGGAUCGUAAAGCUCUGUUGUAAGAGAAGAACGAGUGUGAGAGUGGAAAGUUCACACUGUGACGGUAUCUGAACAGAAAGGGACGGCUAACUACGUG
RNAcentral lists this ribosomal RNA (497 nucleotides) under uncultured bacterium. Its description in RNAcentral is "partial 16S ribosomal RNA". It matches the Rfam family "Bacterial small subunit ribosomal RNA", at positions 28 to 507 of the family's 1533-position model. The record is from RNAcentral.